Molecule: ribosomal RNA, 119 nt
Organism: Lepisosteus oculatus (spotted gar)
Lineage: Eukaryota; Metazoa; Chordata; Actinopteri; Semionotiformes; Lepisosteidae
Source: Ensembl
GCCAGCAGCCAUAUCACUCUGCAACUCGCAACUGGCAACCCACUGAAGCUAAGCAGGUGUGAGCCUGGUCAGUACCUGGAUGGGAGACCUCCUGGGAAAAACUAAGGUUGCUGCUGGAA